RNAcentral lists this ribosomal RNA (497 nucleotides) under uncultured bacterium. Its description in RNAcentral is "partial 16S ribosomal RNA". It matches the Rfam family "Bacterial small subunit ribosomal RNA", at positions 28 to 507 of the family's 1533-position model. The record is from RNAcentral.
GAUGAACGCUGGCGGCGUGCCUAAUACAUGCAAGUCGAGCGAACGGACGAGAAGCUUGCUUCUCUGAUGUUAGCGGCGGACGGGUGAGUAACACGUGGAUAACCUACCUAUAAGACUGGGAUAACUUCGGGAAACCGGAGCUACUACCGGAUAAUAUUUUGAACCGCAUGGUUCAAAAGUGAAAGACGGUCUUUCUGUCACUUAUAGCUGGAUCCGCGCUGCAUUAGCUAGUUGGUAAGGUAACGGCUUACCAAGGCAACGAUGCAUAGCCGACCUGAGAGGGUGAUCGGCCACACUGGAACUGAGACACGGUCCAGAGUCCUACGGGAGGCAGCAGUAGGGAAUCUUCCGCAAUGGGCGAAAGCCUGACGGAGCAACGCCGCGUGAGUGAUGAAGGUCUUCGGAUCGUAAAACUCUGUUAUGAGGGAAGAACAUAUGUGUAAGUAACUGUGCACAUCUUGACGGUACCUAAUCAGAAAGCCACGGCUAACUACGUG